AUAUGCUGGAACACACCUGCUGGCUUCCUUUGGGAGGACACGUGCGUGAACAGCACCGAGCUGAAAUUACUAGGACGUGAACCCAACUGAGGAUACUCCAGCAAUCUUUGGAUGACCAGAGUUUGGAGGCACUGCAGCCUUUCCUCUCCCUUGCUGUUGAGAACACGUUCUUUACACAAUGAGUGAAGAGAGAAGUGGAGUUGAGACUAUCCUGCAGGCAAUUCCUUUAUAUGAGGGUGUCUCCAAACCCGUUUGAUAAGAGAAAAAAAAAAAAAGAAAAGAGGCUGGAAAUGUUGCAAGGAAGAAUCUGCACAGAAAUUUUCAAUCAUUUUUUCCUAUUUGGUCCAAAAGUACUGUCUAAAAAGCCUGUCUUGUUAAGUAUAUUGGCAUUUCCCUCUGGCCUCUAGAGGGAUAAGUAGGAUAAGUAGAACCUUCAUAAAUUAUAUAGGUUUAAUUCCAGGGUCAAGCAAAAGACUAGGC
RNAcentral lists this long non-coding RNA (480 nucleotides) under Apteryx rowi (Okarito brown kiwi). Its description in RNAcentral is "lncRNA (ENSARWG00000000199.1)". The record is from RNAcentral. Lineage: Eukaryota; Metazoa; Chordata; Aves; Apterygiformes; Apterygidae.